RNAcentral lists this long non-coding RNA (654 nucleotides) under Mytilus galloprovincialis (Mediterranean mussel). The record is from RNAcentral. Lineage: Eukaryota; Metazoa; Mollusca; Bivalvia; Mytilida; Mytilidae.
CUCAGGCGCAAGACACGCGCGCUACUGAGGGCAGAACAGACGACCAAGGGACAGUAAGAAGAGGAAGAUGGUGGCGGUGGGAAGAAAGGCAUUUGGAAUGGUGGAAUCAAGUAAGAAGUGAUGUCAGGACCUCUAUCAAAAAAAAAAAGUGACACCUCGGACUAUUGAUUUCGAACGUAUAAUGGUCUUUGAGAAUAUUGUUAUCCCCCCCCCCCUGUUUGAUUACCGAUAUGUCUAUGAACAUGAUAACGAAUUGUUGAUAAUAACCCUUUUUUAAUGGUGUAUUUUGUUUAACUAUAACUAUUAUAUUAUUAUACUUUUUCCUUUAUUUAAUUUUCAUAUAUUUAGUUUUUAUUCUUUUUUCAUUGAGAUAAAGAUUGUUUACUGAAAUCCCCCUUUCAUACAAAUAGAUUCAACGUUUUCAUUUAGAGCCUCAGUGCACUUUUCUGAAGUUAUUUUCUAUUGUUCCUUUUUUUGUUCACCUGUUGUCAAAAUUCUGUUCACCUGCCUUAUAAUUACUUUUAAAUUUUCAAGGUAUUUAACUAUCACCUGUUUUAUUAUUGUUACUAUUUUUAAUCACACCUGUGUCGUGUGUUUAUACCUUUAUUUACUAUAUAGACUGAUAAGUAUAUAUUAUCUAUGUAAUAUUUUUUU